GACGAACGCUGGCCGCGUGCUUAACACAUGCAAGUCGAACGGUAAGGCCCUUCGGGGUACACGAGUGGCGAACGGGUGAGUAACACGUGGGUGAUCUGCCCUGCACUUCGGGAUAAGCCUGGGAAACUGGGUCUAAUACCGGAUAGGACUCCGGACUGCAUGGUCUGGGGUGGAAAGCUUUUGCGGUGUGGGAUGGGCCCGCGGCCUAUCAGCUUGUUGGUGGGGUGAUGGCCUACCAAGGCGACGACGGGUAGCCGGCCUGUGAGGGUGACCGGCCACACUGUGACUGAGAUACGGCCCAGACUCCUACGGGAGGCAGCAGUGGAGAAUAUUGCACAAUGGGCGCAAGCCUGAUGCAGCGACGCCGCGUGAGGGAUGACGGCCUUCGGGUUGUAAACCUCUUUCAGCAUCGACGAAGCGAAAGUGACGGUAGGUGCAGAAGAAGGACCGGCCAACUACGUGCCAGCCGCCGCCGUAA
Molecule: ribosomal RNA, 478 nt
Filed under: uncultured bacterium
Lineage: Bacteria
Description: partial 16S ribosomal RNA
Rfam family: Bacterial small subunit ribosomal RNA
Source: RNAcentral